GAAGUGGAGCACAUCAGUGA
RNAcentral lists this microRNA (20 nucleotides) under Homo sapiens (human). RNAcentral's name for it is "hsa-miR-12117". Lineage: Eukaryota; Metazoa; Chordata; Mammalia; Primates; Hominidae. The record is from miRBase by way of RNAcentral.